UCUGCAAAGUAAGAGAGGGCUGGGCAUUAGCAUUACGAACAAAUGCUUAUUGAAUACUUUAUUACAAAGAAGCUCCUGGUGCUGGGAAAUGGGAACAUGUAGAGGAUCCCUGUCCUCCCUGGGCUUGCAGAUGGAACAAGGAUACGUAAAAAGAUAAGUGGCAACACAGGGAGGCACUCACUGGGCCCCAAAGGGCCAAUGCCAAACACAGGUGCAACAGGAUGGCUGGGAGAUAGCUUUUGAGCAGUCGCUAAUGUGCUGGCCUCAGUCCUAUGUGAUUUUAUGCGUUAUCACAUCAAUCCUAAGAGGAAUUCAGUGGUGAGAGUAACUUACCACUGGGGACUGGAAUGACCAGAAAGUUUUUCAGAGAGGAGGUAAGACUUGAGCUGGGUUGAAUUAUAUGGUGAUAUUUCUCAACAGUAAUGAAAGCUGGCUGAGCUGAAACCCAGAGCAUAAUUUCUCACUGGCUGGCUGCUCCAGAUAGUAAUAGCUUCAGUGCCCUUCAGAAUGGAAUUCUUCUGAGCCUGUGAAGAUGUGUGAGGUGUGCUCGGCAGGUGGGAAGAAUGCUGGAGAAAAACGAUGAGAAGAGGGGCUCAGCCAAUCUCAUGCAAUCAUUGUCCCAAAGAGAAGGAAGGCGUAAGAUAAAGAGGAAGCUCAGCUUGCACAUAUUGAAGAAGCAGCAGGAGGAUGUUCUCUACCUAUGGACAGUGAGAAGAUGAU
Tupaia belangeri chinensis (Chinese tree shrew) is the source of this 720-nucleotide long non-coding RNA. RefSeq lists it as uncharacterized. The record is from RefSeq and is a predicted model, not a curated record. The transcript is spliced from 3 exons. Lineage: Eukaryota; Metazoa; Chordata; Mammalia; Scandentia; Tupaiidae.